AAACGGAAGGACUAGGGCCAGAGGACUCGCAGACCGGUGGGGAGACAGGGGUUGGCCACAGGAGGAAGAUGAAACAACCCUUGUCCUUGAAGAGGAUAUUUUCCAGCAGGGAAGCUGGAAAUAUACACAGAAAACAGCAGGUGUUUAGAAGCUGUUCUCUUUGCUUCUUUGCCUGCGCUCGGCAGCCCUGGCCAGACCACAUUCUUUUGCGUGAAGUGCUUCACUGGC
This is a long non-coding RNA of Pteronotus mesoamericanus, 228 nucleotides long. RefSeq lists it as uncharacterized. Lineage: Eukaryota; Metazoa; Chordata; Mammalia; Chiroptera; Mormoopidae. The transcript has 3 exons. The record is from RefSeq and is a predicted model, not a curated record.